This 429-nucleotide ribosomal RNA is filed under the name Ralstonia sp. Its description in RNAcentral is "partial 16S ribosomal RNA". The record is from RNAcentral. Lineage: Bacteria; Pseudomonadati; Pseudomonadota; Betaproteobacteria; Burkholderiales; Burkholderiaceae.
GGGUCCUUUCGUGCUGAGCGUCAGUGUUAUCCCAGGGGGCUGCCUUCGCCAUCGGUAUUCCUCCACAUCUCUACGCAUUUCACUGCUACACGUGGAAUUCUACCCCCCUCUGACACACUCUAGCCGUGCAGUCACCAAUGCAAUUCCCAAGUUAAGCUCGGGGAUUUCACAUCGGUCUUGCACAACCGCCUGCGCACGCUUUACGCCCAGUAAUUCCGAUUAACGCUUGGACCCUACGUAUUACCGCGGCUGCUGGCACGUAGUUAGCCGGUCCUUAUUCUUCCGGUACCGUCAUCGACCCCAGGUAUUAACCAGAGCCAUUUCUUUCCGGACAAAAGUGCUUUACAACCCGAAGGCCUUCUUCACACACGCGGCAUUGCUGGAUCAGGCUUUCGCCCAUUGUCCAAAAUUCCCCACUGCUGCCUCCCA